GACGAACGCUGACGGCGUGCCUAAUACAUGCAAGUCGCACGAUGAGGCCCUUCGGGGUACAUCAGUGGCGGACGGGUGAGUAACACGUAGGAAACAUGCCCUUUACUGGGGGAUAACAUCGGGAAACCGGUGCUAAUACCGCAUAAGACGUUGAUUGGAAUAUCAACGUUUAAAGCUCCGGUGGUAAAGGAUUGGCCUGCGUCGGAUUAGCUUGUUGGUGAGGUAACGGCUCACCAAGGCGACGAUCCGUAGUUGGUCUGAGAGGAUGACCAGCCACAGUGGAACUGAGACACGGUCCAC
This 300-nucleotide ribosomal RNA is filed under the name uncultured bacterium. RNAcentral describes it as "bacterial SSU rRNA". It matches the Rfam family "Bacterial small subunit ribosomal RNA", at positions 28 to 334 of the family's 1533-position model. The record is from RNAcentral.